GCUGGCGGGUCGGUGUUGUAUGUUGGCAUACCUUUGGCAUGGUUCGCACCUCCGAACCAACUCAGCCGCGUCCUUCUUCAUAGUGGGCCAGUAGUAACCCUGCCGCAGGACUUUGUAAGCCAGGGACUUGCCCCCCAAGUGAUCACCACAGAUCCCUUCAUGUACUUCCCUGAGGGCAUAGUCCGCAUCGGUCAGCCCCAGGCACUUCAGCAAGGGAA
Molecule: long non-coding RNA, 218 nt
Filed under: Elaeis guineensis (African oil palm)
Lineage: Eukaryota; Viridiplantae; Streptophyta; Magnoliopsida; Arecales; Arecaceae
Description: long non-coding RNA (EGUI_LNC026316)
Source: RNAcentral